GAUGAACGCUGGCGGCGUGCCUAACACAUGCAAGUCGAACGGAAGGACAAUAAGCUCGUGCUCUUGAUGGUGGCGGAGGGCGGGCGGGUAACGCGUGGAUCAUAAUCUUCUUUUUCGGGGAUAAUAUCGUAAAAAAGGUUAUAAUAACACAUCAUAUUAUGUACCGCAGAGAGCAGAGGAGAUUGACGGCUUUCCUGUUUGAAUUAGCCGGGGCCGCAGUAGCUAGUUGGGCGGGUAAGGGCCCACCUAGGCGACGAUACGUCGCCGGGCUGAGAGGAUGAUCGGCCACACUGGAACUGAGACACGGUCCAGACUCCUACGGGAGGCAGCAGUGGGGAAUAUUGGGCAAUGGGCGCAAGCCUGACCCAGCCAUACCGCGUGAGUGAUGAAGGCCUUCGGUUCGUAAAGCCCUGUUUUUGGGAAAGAACAGCUGUAGGAUAAUCCCCAACGGUCCUGACGGUACCUAAUCAAUAAGCACCGGCUAACUACGUG
RNAcentral lists this ribosomal RNA (492 nucleotides) under uncultured bacterium. RNAcentral describes it as "partial 16S ribosomal RNA". It matches the Rfam family "Bacterial small subunit ribosomal RNA", at positions 28 to 507 of the family's 1533-position model. The record is from RNAcentral.